This 85-nucleotide transfer RNA is filed under the name Felis catus (domestic cat). It matches the Rfam family "tRNA". Rfam says of the family: Transfer RNA (tRNA) molecules are approximately 80 nucleotides in length. Their secondary structure includes four short double-helical elements and three loops (D, anti-codon, and T loops). Lineage: Eukaryota; Metazoa; Chordata; Mammalia; Carnivora; Felidae. The record is from Rfam by way of RNAcentral.
GCCUGUGUGGCUCAGUUGGUUGAGUACCCGACUUUAGCUCAGGUCAUGAUCUCAGAGUAGGUGAGUUGGAGCCCCGCCUCAGGCU